This 204-nucleotide long non-coding RNA is filed under the name Elaeis guineensis (African oil palm). RNAcentral's name for it is "long non-coding RNA (EGUI_LNC038231)". Lineage: Eukaryota; Viridiplantae; Streptophyta; Magnoliopsida; Arecales; Arecaceae. The record is from RNAcentral.
CUGAUCAGCUCCUCACGAAUGCUAGUUCGUUGCAGAACCCUUUCGACGGCCGAUGCUGAUCGAACUCCUUCGAUCGAUGUCUGUCGAUUCUUCGGAUGCUCUGGAUUAUCAGCAAAUAUGCUUGAGAGUUGAUGAAGCUCUUUCUCGAACCCCAGGCUAAAACCCUAGGGAACACACUGAAAACCCUGCGCCCACUUUUGUUUC